CGAGGGGUAACAGAAGGAGCUUGCUCUUUGCUGACGACCGGCGCACGGGUGCGUAACGCGUAUACAAUCUACCUUAUACAGGAGGAUAGCCCUAAGAAAUUGGGAUUAAUACUCCAUAGUAUUUAUUUACCGCAUGGUAAAUAAAUUAAAACUCAGGUGGUAUAAGAUGAGUAUGCGUCCUAUUAGCUAGAUGGUAAGGUAACGGCUUACCAUGGCAACGAUAGGUAGGGGGCCUGAGAGGGUUAUCCCCCACACUGGUACUGAGACACGGACCAGACUCCUACGGGAGGCAGCAGUGAGGAAUAUUGGUCAAUGGAGGCAACUCUGAACCAGCCAUGCCGCGUGAAGGAAGAAUGUCCUAUGGAUUGUAAACUUCUUUUAUUUGGGAAGAACUCCCUCUACGUGUAGAGGGCUGACGGUACCAAACGAAUAAGGACCGGCUAACUCCGUGCCAGCAGCCGCGGUAAUACGGAGGGUCCAAGCGUUAUCCGGAAUCAUUGGGUUUAAAGGGUUCGCAAGCGGUUUAUUAAGUCAGUGGUGAAAGCCUACAGCUCAACUGUAGAACUGCCAUUGAUACUGAUAGACUUGAAUUUAGUUGAAGUAGGCGGAAUGUGUAGUGUAGCGGUGAAAUGCUUAGAUAUUACACAGAACACCGAUAGCGAAGGCAGCUUACUAAACUACGAUUGACGCUCAUGAACGAAAGCGUGGGGAGCGAACAGGAUUAGAUACCCUGGUAGUCCACGCAGUAAACGAUGAUUACUCGUUAUUGGCGAUAUACGGUCAGUGACUAAGCGAAAGUGAUAAGU
Molecule: ribosomal RNA, 806 nt
Filed under: uncultured Bacteroidota bacterium
Lineage: Bacteria; Pseudomonadati; Bacteroidota
Description: bacterial SSU rRNA
Rfam family: Bacterial small subunit ribosomal RNA
Source: RNAcentral